AGCUUAUUGAAAGAACAAAAACUACUACACCAAUCCAAACAUAACCCUAAUUUCCGGGCCCCUCUCAAAAUCCUUAAUCCGCGCCGCUAUGUAUAUAUCAUCUCCUUCUUCAUAACUAUUCUGUACACAUCAACUAUAUGUGGUCUCAAAUUUAACCAAACUCACAUGUCUUUGGAAUCCAUUUGUUUGGAGGCGAUGAAGUAAAUAUGGAUGAAAGUCACUAUCAAUCCUUCACAUAAAGCACCAUUAAAAAAAGUCCAGCAAUAUUGAGGCAUUUUAACAAACACCAUGUGUGCAAACAUGAAAUAACUUAAACAUGAGCACCAAAUACAAAGCUAAAAAACCAUAAAACACAACAUCAUAAAAUCUUCAAACAUAAGAUUUUCUAAGCAAACAAACCACAAAUAUGCCACAGUGGUACCUACAGGGAAGCAAAGGUAGAAACAUUCUCUCUACCAAAUAGUGUCAUUGAAUUUUUAUAUUAGUUCAUUUUGGUUAAGAUGAUAGCUAAUGGUAUUGUUAUUGAAUUCUUAGAAGAUGCAAGCUGCAUUGCUCACAGUUUCAUAACUAUUUAUGACUUCUACAUUUUUUAGAAUAAUUUUUUCAAUCACAAAUUGAUUGCUUCCUAAGGAUUGUAUAGGAGCUUGAAGGGUUUGGAGUGUCAACUUCUCAUAUGGUGCAUCGGCAUAUUCUCUGACUAUGCCAAAAUUUGGUUAUAAUCAGUGAAGAAAUAUUUGAGUUAGAUGGGAGUUACGAUUCACAUUUAUUGUCUUUUUUGUUGAAACGAAGGAAAAGAAAGAGGAAAUAAUUGAUUGAUUUCAUGAAAUAUUUUAUUUGGUUGAAGGUAGAGGAGGGAAGAAAUUUUAAUGAAGAAAAAGUUUUAGUUUAUUUUAUAUAUUCUAAUAAUUUUUUGUGUGACAUUUAAUUUAAUAGUAUUUCAGUCAAUACAUUUUAAAAUUGGUCUCUCCUUCAAAUUCUUGCAAUACACUCUAAGAAGCAAAAUUCAGUUGUGAGCAUUUGUCUCCCUUUCCCUAUUUUUCAAAAAGUAAAAAAAAAAAAAUUCAUUAUCUUCCAACCAAAGACCAUGUUAAGGUGACAUGUAGAAACAUCGAAUGAUUGAUGUGUUCCUCCACGUUGGUUCAUUGUAUUUUGCAACUAUAUUAUUAUCCUUCUCUUUGGCUAGGAUGUAUUGUACGAUGUUUUCAGGUUAUAUGCCAAAAUGAUCUUAAGUGCCCGACAUUAGUGGGGGUUCACAAAAUAUAAUUCAUUCCAACUACGUAUGACUACUACUAGCCGAUGGUUAAGGAUGUUUCACAACAUAAAUAAGGUAGUGGCGUUUCUCUUAUCCUUAAAUCAAAUAUCAAGUUGGAAAACAUGUGUUAAGUAUACUCUUGUAGAUAAUUGUGUGAUGAGAGUGCACAUUUAACGCCUAAAAUGGCUACCUUGCCUUUUGUAACACUUUGGAGAAUUAUUGAAUACUCGAAACUCUUA
This is a long non-coding RNA of Cicer arietinum (chickpea), 1491 nucleotides long. RefSeq lists it as uncharacterized. The record is from RefSeq and is a predicted model, not a curated record. Lineage: Eukaryota; Viridiplantae; Streptophyta; Magnoliopsida; Fabales; Fabaceae.